RNAcentral lists this ribosomal RNA (468 nucleotides) under uncultured bacterium. RNAcentral's name for it is "partial 16S ribosomal RNA". It matches the Rfam family "Bacterial small subunit ribosomal RNA", at positions 28 to 507 of the family's 1533-position model. The record is from RNAcentral.
GACGAACGCUGGCGGCGUGCUUAACACAUGCAAGUCGAACGGAAAGGCCAUGAUUUUGUGGGGUGCUCGAGUGGCGAACGGGGGAGUAAAACGUGAGUAACACGUACUUGAAUUUGGGAUAAAUUCAGGAAACAGGGGAUAAUACAGGAUAGGAGAUAUUGAUGCGUGGUGGGGGUUGGAAAGAUUCGGCGGUUUGGGAUGGAAUGGCGGCUUAUCGGCUUGUUUGGGGGGUAGUGGAUGACGAAGGCUUUGACGGGUAGCCGGCCUGAGAGCGUGACCGGGCUCCAUGGUCCUGCGAGACGGCCCAGACUGCUAUGUUCGGCAACAGUGGGGAAUAUUGCACAAUGGGCGGGAGUCUGAUGCAGCAACGUCGCGUUCGGGAUGAUGUCCUUUGGGUUGUAAACCGCUUUCGCCUGUAACGAAGCGUGAUUGACGGUAAUUGGUAAAGAAGCACCGGCUAACUACGUG